Molecule: ribosomal RNA, 468 nt
Filed under: uncultured bacterium
Lineage: Bacteria
Description: partial 16S ribosomal RNA
Rfam family: Bacterial small subunit ribosomal RNA
Source: RNAcentral
GAUGAACGCUGGCGGCGUGCUUAACACAUGCAAGUCGAACGGUGAAGGCGGAGCUUGCUCUGCUGGAUCAGUGGCGAACGGGUGAGUAACACGUGAGCAAUCUGCCCCUGACUCUGGGAUAAGCGCUGGAAACGGCGUCUAAUACUGGAUACGAGCUGCGAAGGCAUCUUCAGCAGCUGGAAAGAACUUCGGUCAGGGAUGAGCUCGCGGCCUAUCAGCUUGUUGGUGAGGUAACGGCUCACCAAGGCGUCGACGGGUAGCCGGCCUGAGAGGGUGACCGGCCAAACUGGGACUGAGACACGGCCCAGACUCCUACGGGAGGCAGCAGUGGGGAAUAUUGCACAAUGGGCGAAAGCCUGAUGCAGCAACGCCGCGUGAGGGACGACGGCCUUCGGGUUGUAAACCUCUUUUAGCAGGGAAGAAGCGAAAGUGACGGUACCUGCAGAAAAAGCGCCGGCUAACUACGUG